GCCCUCCCCCCCCGGGGGACAGAAGGCCGCUCACCUGCCCACGAGUGGGUCCUGAGACCACCGGGAUGGGGCUUGGGCCCAACAGGCUGCAGAAGUCAGGCUGGAGGCCCUGAUGGCGGAUGCUGGGCGGAGACCCGCCAGGCUCAGGAGCCCGCCUCCGCCAGAGGCCCCUGGAGACGGCCCGGGUGGGCCGGGCUGCUGACCAGGCCAGGAGAGGUCCAGUCACAACUGUCGAGUACCCGGAACGAGAGGGCAAGUGCCCAGGGUGCGCUCUCACGCCUCCCGUCUGCACCCGGCCCCGUGAGGGUCAGAGCCUGUGGCCGGUCACACACAGGCCCCGCGUGAGUCACCGGGUGGGCACAGCUGGAGACCCCCUGGACACUUCCAAGGGGGCAGCCUCUGGCCCCGGCCCCUCAGACCAACCGGGAGACAGACAGAGGAGCCCCAGGGCCAACCUCCCAGGGCCUCUGGCCUCGGGCCUCUGACUGGCCACUUGCCCUGUGGGCAGCCCAGUGCCUUUCACAAAGUGCCCACAAGCUGGGGAUUUCCCACCACUCGACAUGAGACUUUAGGGAGAAAAAGUUUCUUGGUGCCACUAACUGAAGCCCAGCGAAUUCCUGGAACACAUGCCUUCAGCCUUAUCCAGUGUGAGCAGCUGCCGGUUGGACCCCCGGGCCUGGAGACGAGGAUGGGAGCCCGGCAUUCACUGUGUCCCCUCGAGCUUGCUGCCUGGGCAUCUUUCCUGCGCACCCACCAGCCCCCUGGGGAGCCCGCCUGAGUGAGACACCUCAGCGCUUCUUGCUGCCUCUUCCCGGGGCCGCCCUACGCCGAGCACAGAGAAGCCAGUGUCCACGCACCACCCCCGCCGCUCCAGCCUCCCGUUGCUGUGCCUGCCCCAGAGCCCACGGCCUCUGCAGACCUGGGGGCGUCACUGGGACUGAACACAAACAGGGCAGCCCUCCCAGGGCGGUGCCUCCUCUGAAGCCCCUUUAUGAGAGCCCCCGGGUGCAUUCCCACCAUGAGCGUGACUCCGGGCCUGCCAGGCAGUGUUCCCAGGAGGCCAGCAGGACACAGUCCACACAGACCGUGGAGACACACGGCAGCUUGUGGGUGCCCUGUUUUAUUCACCACCGUGUGGAGAAGGAAAUGGCAACCCACUCCAGUGUUCUCUCCUGGAGAAUCCCACGUACAGGCGAGUCUGGCAGGCUGCAGUCCGUGGGGUCGCUGAGAAUCGGACACAACCGAGCGACUGAGCAACGUGCCCACCCUGCCCACUGCCCCCCGCACUGUGCCCCUCUGGGGCUGCGACUCGGGCGGGGUUCUCUUCAGAACCUCCCCUCCCUCCACACUCAGGAACCCCAACUGCAAAUAGGCUCCAGGUUGCUGAGUCUGCCCUCUCUCCCCGCCCUCCUUGCCCCGGCAACGAAGGUCCAACCAGCCAGGGACAGACUCCUCUUCCUUGGAUCAUUUGUCCUCCUAGGGUGGGAGGGUAGCCACCACCUGGCAGGGAAGAGGCUUGGGAAAGAGACCACCCCCAGGUGCCUUCGCUGCUCCCUGGGUGUCUGUGUCUGAGCCCCAGCCUUGCCGUCCUGGGAGGUGGGUGACGCGACCGCUAUGCGAGCCUGAGCGCCAUCCCUGCUGUGCGGCCCGCUCCAACCUCCCCACCUCCCCAGAGGGCCAAGGCCUCCUCGAGGGCGGACGGGGUGUGCAGUUACUCUGCAGGUGCCCAGCACAGGAGCCAGGCCCCCCGGCCCUGGGGGACAGCGUGUUGCCCAAGCAGCCAGAGUGCUGCAGUGCCCCCUCCCUGCCUGAGGGCCAUCCCUGAGUGUGCCUCCCUGAGUGUGCCUCCCUGAGUGUGCCUGAGUGUGUCCAGUGUCCAGUGCACGGCCAAGCAGAGCUUCCUGCUCCAGGGCACAGAGCGGACGAGGGACUGUGCCCUCCGGCCUGGCGGGGGGUCAGGGUCCCCAGGAGCCCUGAUUGUGAAGAGGGUGCAGCCAAGACCCCCAGGCUCCGCCCUCCCCUCCUCUUGCUCCAGGAUCCUCCUGACUGGAAUGCUGUCCAGUGUAUCCUUCAGCUUCAGGCAGAGGCCACCCCUGCCUCCCUCACUCCUGACCUUUGGGUUUUUUGUUGAGCGGGGCCAGGCAGCAGGAACUUUCAUCUAUUAACUUCAUCCCUAACCCUAACCUGCUACAGCCUCACAGCCCAGAACCAGCCACUGUGGGGACAGAAGGGAGGGGGAGGGGGAAGGAAGAGGCGGGGGAGGGUGGGGAAGGGGGCGGGGAGGGGCGGGGAGGGGCGAGGGGGGAGGGGAGGGAGAAGGGAAGGGGAGGGGGAGAGGGAGGAGGGCAGGGGCGGGGCGGGGGGGUGGGGGGAGGAUGGGCAGCUCACUACAGCUACUUCCUUUCUUGCACAACCCGCUCCCCAAGAACGAUGACUCACUUGGUUUUCUUUGAACCUGCCUUGUCCCCCACAUCCUUUGGUGUCUGAGAAGCGAGCCUUCCGCGGCUCCGGGAGUCAGGCCGCCUCAGCCCCCGCCCCGACCCCUCAGGCCCCGCUCCAGGCUCUGUCCACCGGGACCGGCCCCUUCUCCUGCAGGCGCUCCCCAGUUCCAGGGAUGUGGGGGGCCGUCUCAGAAACCGCCCUGUCGGGCUGAGGGCGGCUCCGCAGCGUUCCCUGCUGCUGUCUGCGCCCGCGCUCCCCUCCAGUCCUCCGGGACGCACCUUAGCUCUGGAAAAGGCUCUCUUCUGUUCCGGACUUCCAUUCCCCACAGCUGGCUCUGUCCUCUAGCUUUUCCUUUCCAGAUGCUCUGCGUCCAUUCUGUGUCAUUUCUGUGACCAGAAGUGGUCCUUUCCUAACGGGUGCGAUGUCUCCGGCCGUCUCUGAGACCGUGGACGUCAGGAGUUCUGAGCUGUCCUCGGGCCCUUGCCCUGCCCUCUUGCAGGUGCCGAGGGGACCGUCCCUCGCUUCUCACAGAGGGAGGCGCUGCUGGGGCGGACAGAGGCUGGGCCUGUUGGGCAGCGCAUACCUGUGGGUGGCGUCUCAGGGGGCGGCUCCUGCUCAAGGGCGGAGGGGCUCCCUGUUCAGGGAGCCCUCAGCCACCCCCUGCCGCUGCCCCCCUGAGCCCCACCAGGCUCUGGGGACACGGACUGCCAGCUUUCCCCUGGAAUUUGCCCUUCCUGGAUUCUGGGGGCAGACGUUUACCUCUCUGUUUCUGUGCGUUGCUGGAAGACAAUUCCAAUGAGACCUCAUUGCUGGAAGCUAGUCUGCACCUCUAUGAACCAGGUGAGGGCCCAGCACAGCCGGGCUGCAUGGGGCCUGGUGGGAGGAGUGGCUGGGUCUGACAGGCCCCCUGUGCACCCACCUCUGCAUGAAUACAGCAGGGCCAGGGCACCCUUCCGCCAAACCCUGGCCUAAGCACCACUUACCACACGACCUUGGCCAAAUUAAGGGUCCUCUCUGAGCCUUCACUUUCUCAUCUAUAAAACAGGUAAGUAUAGACCAACAAAACAGCCCAGAAACAAACCCUCACACUAUAGUCAGGGAUGCUUGACAAGGGUGAUGUCUUUGCUUUUUAAUACACUGUCUAGGUUUGUCACAACUUUCCUGCCAAGAAGCAAGCGUCUUCUAAUUUCAUGCCUGCAGUCACCGUCCACAGCGAUUUUAGAGCCAAGAGGAAGAAACCUGUCACGGCUCCCACCUUUUCCCCUGCUAUUUGUCAUGAAGUGAUGGGGCCGGAUGCCAUGAUCUUACUUUUUUAAAUAUUGAGUUUCAAGUUGGCUUUUUCACAGAUUAUUGAGGAAAUGCAAAUAAAAACCACAAAUAAGAUAUGACCUCACACUUAUUAGGAUGGCUACUGUCAAACAUUGUUCAGUUGCUUCAGGUCAGUUCAGUCCAGUCGCUCAGUCGUGUCCUGCAGCACACCAGGCUUCUCUGUCCAUCACCAACUCCCAGAGUUUACUCAAACUCAU
RNAcentral lists this long non-coding RNA (3968 nucleotides) under Capra hircus (goat). RNAcentral's name for it is "lncRNA (ENSCHIG00000004052.1)". The record is from RNAcentral. Lineage: Eukaryota; Metazoa; Chordata; Mammalia; Artiodactyla; Bovidae.